AUCGGAAUUACUGGGCGUAAAGCGUGCGUAGGUGGUUGUUCAAGUCUGUCGUGAAAGCCCUGGGCUCAACCUGGGAAUGGCGAUGGAAACUGGCUGACUGGAGUGCGGUAGAGGGUAGUGGAAUUCCCGGUGUAGCAGUGAAAUGCGUAGAUAUCGGGAGGAACAUCCGUGGCGAAGGCGACUACCUGGACCAGCACUGACACUGAGGCACGAAAGCGUGGGGAGCAAACAGG
RNAcentral lists this ribosomal RNA (233 nucleotides) under uncultured bacterium. Its description in RNAcentral is "partial 16S ribosomal RNA". It matches the Rfam family "Bacterial small subunit ribosomal RNA", at positions 544 to 776 of the family's 1533-position model. The record is from RNAcentral.